Molecule: unclassified non-coding RNA, 259 nt
Filed under: Hevea brasiliensis (rubber tree)
Lineage: Eukaryota; Viridiplantae; Streptophyta; Magnoliopsida; Malpighiales; Euphorbiaceae
Source: RNAcentral
GAAGAAGAAGAAGAUGGUGAUGAUUUAGAUGAUUAAUUAGUGGCAUAAACCAAUUAGGCUAUUAAGAUAUUUGGUUUACGAUGUAAAUGACGAAUUUUAGUGGCGACUUCAAUAAUUCUCAAUUAAUUGUAAUAAGACAUUAUCUCAUUAAAUCUUAUUAUUGAGAGUUUCUUUUCUAAUUAUUACCAUUUUUUUUGCAUGUAAUUUCUUCUUGUGUUAAAAGAAGAAAUGAUGUCCCAAAAUAUAUCCAAGAGGGAGG